Long non-coding RNA from Nothoprocta perdicaria, 442 nucleotides. RefSeq lists it as uncharacterized. The record is from RefSeq and is a predicted model, not a curated record. Lineage: Eukaryota; Metazoa; Chordata; Aves; Tinamiformes; Tinamidae. The transcript is spliced from 5 exons.
AUUAACGCAUAAGGAAAGUUGGAGCUCUCCGUAGGCAUGAAGAAAGUUAUAUUGGCCAGAAAGCAAACAGGAAAGGAGAUGGAAGAAAAACAACCCCCAGACCUGCUGCUUUACGUUCCCCUUGUCGACUGUUUACCGGCCUGGCAGGCAGAGGCCUCCAAGCCCUGUCAAUAACCUGUCUUUUGCUUUAAAGCUUUAUUUUAGACGUUUGCACAAUACCACACACUUUCUCAGCCUGUAGUGAAUAUCAUUCUGCUCACCUGCUCAGGCUCUGCAGCUUCCUCCAAACAGGACAUUAUGCCACUGGGAUAACCUGCAGAACCAAGAGCACUUCCACUGUUUCAAGAUAUUAGAUCUUGCAGAGGAAUACAGAAGGCUACAGAAAUAAAAGAUUGUUGGGAAACUCAAUUUUGACCUUAUACAUACACACAUAUAUAUAUGU